This 803-nucleotide ribosomal RNA is filed under the name Streptomyces sp. RNAcentral's name for it is "bacterial SSU rRNA". It matches the Rfam family "Bacterial small subunit ribosomal RNA", at positions 67 to 883 of the family's 1533-position model. The record is from RNAcentral. Lineage: Bacteria; Bacillati; Actinomycetota; Actinomycetes; Kitasatosporales; Streptomycetaceae.
CGAUGAACCACAUUCGGUGGGGAUUAGUGGCGAACGGGUGAGUAACACGUGGGCAAUCUGCCCUGCACUCUGGGACAAGCCCUGGAAACGGGGUCUAAUACCGGAUACUGACCCUCACGGGCAUCUGUGAGGUUCGAAAGCUCCGGCGGUGCAGGAUGAGCCCGCGGCCUAUCAGCUUGUUGGUGAGGUAAUGGCUCACCAAGGCGACGACGGGUAGCCGGCCUGAGAGGGCGACCGGCCACACUGGGACUGAGACACGGCCCAGACUCCUACGGGAGGCAGCAGUGGGGAAUAUUGCACAAUGGGCGAAAGCCUGAUGCAGCGACGCCGCGUGAGGGAUGACGGCCUUCGGGUUGUAAACCUCUUUCAGCAGGGAAGAAGCGAAAGUGACGGUACCUGCAGAAGAAGCGCCGGCUAACUACGUGCCAGCAGCCGCGGUAAUACGUAGGGCGCGAGCGUUGUCCGGAAUUAUUGGGCGUAAAGAGCUCGUAGGCGGCUUGUCACGUCGGUUGUGAAAGCCCGGGGCUUAACCCCGGGUCUGCAGUCGAUACGGGCAGGCUAGAGUUCGGUAGGGGAGAUCGGAAUUCCUGGUGUAGCGGUGAAAUGCGCAGAUAUCAGGAGGAACACCGGUGGCGAAGGCGGAUCUCUGGGCCGAUACUGACGCUGAGGAGCGAAAGCGUGGGGAGCGAACAGGAUUAGAUACCCUGGUAGUCCACGCCGUAAACGGUGGGCACUAGGUGUGGGCAACAUUCCACGUUGUCCGUGCCGCAGCUAACGCAUUAAGUGCCCCGCCUGGGGAGUAC